UGGGGAAUAUUGGACAAUGGGGGGAACCCUGAUCCAGCCAUGCCGCGUGUGUGAAGAAGGCCUUAUGGUUGUAAAGCACUUUAAGCGAGGAGGAGGGUACUGGUAUUAAUACUACCAGCUACUGGACGUUACUCGCAGAAUAAGCACCGGCUAACUCUGUGCCAGCAGCCGCGGUAAUACAGAGGGUGCGAGCGUUAAUCGGAUUUACUGGGCGUAAAGCGUGCGUAGGCGGCUAAUUGAGUCGGAUGUGAAAUCCCCGAGCUUAACUUGGGAAUUGCAUUCGAUACUGGUUAGCUAGAGUGUGGGAGAGGAUGGUAGAAUUCCAGGUGUAGCGGUGAAAUGCGUAGAGAUCUGGAGGAAUACCGAUGGCGAAAGCAGCCAUCUGGCCUAACACUGACGCUGAGGUACGAAAGAAUGGGGAGCAAACAGG
This 430-nucleotide ribosomal RNA is filed under the name Pseudomonadota bacterium. RNAcentral describes it as "Proteobacteria bacterium partial 16S ribosomal RNA". It matches the Rfam family "Bacterial small subunit ribosomal RNA", at positions 355 to 776 of the family's 1533-position model. The record is from RNAcentral. Lineage: Bacteria; Pseudomonadati; Pseudomonadota.